Unclassified non-coding RNA from Callithrix jacchus (white-tufted-ear marmoset), 298 nucleotides. It matches the Rfam family "Metazoan signal recognition particle RNA". Rfam says of the family: The signal recognition particle (SRP) is a universally conserved ribonucleoprotein. It is involved in the co-translational targeting of proteins to membranes. The eukaryotic SRP consists of a 300-nucleotide 7S RNA and six proteins: SRPs 72, 68, 54, 19, 14, and 9. NCBI's taxonomy places the organism in Eukaryota, Metazoa, Chordata, Mammalia, Primates, Cebidae. The record is from Ensembl.
GCCGGGCACAGUGGCUCAUGCCUGUAGUCCCAGCUACUCGGGAGGCUGAGGUGGGAGGAUCGCUUGAGCCCAGGAGUUCUGGGCUGUAGUGCGCUAAUGCUGACUGGUUCGCUAAGUUUGGCAUCAAUAUGGUGACCUCCUGGGAGCAAGGGACCACCAGGUUGCCUAAGGAGGGGUGAAUCUGUCCAGGUCGGAAACGGAGCAGGUCAAAACUCGCAUGCUGAUGAGUAGUGUGAUAGCACCUGUGAAUAGCUACUGUACUCCAGAGCCUGGGCAACAUAGUGAGACCCUGUCUCUU